Molecule: non-coding RNA, 180 nt
Filed under: Limnobacter parvus
Lineage: Bacteria; Pseudomonadati; Pseudomonadota; Betaproteobacteria; Burkholderiales; Burkholderiaceae
Description: 6S RNA
Rfam family: 6S / SsrS RNA
About the family: E. coli 6S RNA was the first non coding RNA to be sequenced, but its function was unknown until recently. It consists of 184 nucleotides that fold into an extended hairpin structure with a large single-stranded internal bulge. The 6S RNA specifically associates with RNA polymerase holoenzyme containing the sigma70 specificity factor.
Source: RNAcentral
UUAUCUCUGCCGUGUCUGUAUUGGUCAGUAUUCCGUGAACCAAUAUCUGUGAUCCCGGUUGCGGACUUUUAAGGGUCGGUGUGAUUCCCUCUUGUCAGGGAAACCUAAAGACCCUAACACUGCGACCCACUUGAACCUUAGGUUCAGGGAUCGGACCAGUAUGGCAUCGGCAGAGACCCC